UGAGAACAAAUAAAAACACACAGGAUUACUAUUUUAUUCUGCAGUCACGACCUCAGUCAGGAGAAGCAGAGCUGAAGUACAGAGGUUUGCACAUAUGAAACAUCCAUGCAGUUGUGAAGGUAUCCAGCUGUAACUUCACGCAGGUCUGUUAAGGACCUCCAGCCAAGACACGAAGAUCAAAGCGUCUCUGUUAAAGUCCAAACUCGUGGCGUACACGGAGGAUUUAGUGCACUGUGGGUCAAUAUCGAUGUAAAGCGUUUUUUUUUAACCAGAACCACCGACAUCUGAAGGAACCGACCUUUGCACAGUUUCCACCUUCACCCUGUUGGCCAACAGCACCAAAGGAGGUCAUUGUUAAACUGGGAUCUGACUGAAAUGGUAUGAAGAUCUCAUUUUUGGUUUGGCAAAAAUUUUUCGAUGUCCUUCCUGACACAACUCUCUCGAUUUAUCCAUGACUGGAACCAGCACUGCUGGCUUUUGUCUGGACAAAAAACAAAGCACUGAGUAUAUUUAAUUAUAAGUAAAGCCAAAGCUAAAACUGAGAUGGAUUUUGUUUUAUUUAACUUACAAAAAUAAAUUGUUUAGGGAAAAAAUUACAGUACUUGGGAAAAUAGAUAGGAAAUGUCUCCCUAUAUUAUUAUUAUUAUUAUUAUUAUUAUUAUGAAAAACUGAGCUAGAAUUGAUGCUUUAAUUAGUAUAAACUAAACUAAAAGCAGUAAACUUACUCAAGCAAACCCACUCGGGAAAAGAAAACUAAACUGAAAACAAAAAUUAAAAAGAAAUACUUGAUAAAUAUAUGGAAAAAAAAUGACUGUGUUGUAAACAGCAUUUUAAUGAUGCAGCUGCUUUCUCCAUAUUUAAUCAGAGGCACAAUUCUCAAAUAUAAACAUCUGUGUUAUGUAAAUAAAAUCCUACAAUAAGCAAGUAGCACUGCCCCUAAAAUAAAUACAGCAUUGUAAAAUAUUAUUUGCCUUUAAAACCAAAUGCAGUACAGGUGUAAAGAACCCUAGAUCAAUGGAACACUCAGAAGUUACCCCAAAACUUACAGUACUCGAGCAAUAGCAAUAGUUUGACGGUUCUCAUGAUUUUAGGGUAACGCACUGCAACAUCAGCAAUGAUAAACUAAAAUAAUGCACAUGUAAUCUGGUAACAAACAACAUUCAUGAACAACUUCUCUUUUUUUUUACUGAAAUUAAAACACUUUCAAAAACAUUUAUUAAACAGCAGAGGUAAAACACAGCUGAAGCAGUGAACAGUAUUUACAUGUUAAUAACAAGCACCAGGAGAGCAGCUGCUUAUCCACAUCAGUCAGUCCCCAGUUAAUUCAAGCAGCUUGGCGAUCACUCUCCCCUCUGCUGCUGGCUCUGAUCCAGCUGUUUCUGGUUCAUAUUCAUAGUUCCAUAGGUAAUAGUAUCAUAUCUAAGUGGUCACAUCAGAAUAUAUUUGAUGCAGAAA
Molecule: long non-coding RNA, 1455 nt
Organism: Oreochromis niloticus (Nile tilapia)
Lineage: Eukaryota; Metazoa; Chordata; Actinopteri; Cichliformes; Cichlidae
Exons: 2
Source: RefSeq, a predicted model, not a curated record